This 523-nucleotide ribosomal RNA is filed under the name Arge cyanocrocea. Its description in RNAcentral is "eukaryotic LSU rRNA". It matches the Rfam family "Eukaryotic large subunit ribosomal RNA", at positions 666 to 1138 of the family's 3401-position model. Lineage: Eukaryota; Metazoa; Arthropoda; Insecta; Hymenoptera; Argidae. The record is from RNAcentral.
CCAAGGAGUCUAACAUGUGCGCGAGUCAUUGGGAUCAUGAGACCUAAAGGCGCAAUGAAAGUGAAGGUCAACCACGCGUUGACCGAGGGAGGAUGGGUCGCGUCGCGGCGCGGUCCCGCACUCCCGGGGCGUCUCGUUCUCAUCGCGAGAAGAGGCGCACCCAGAGCGUACACGUUGGGACCCGAAAGAUGGUGAACUAUGCCUGGUCAGGACGAAGUCAGGGGAAACCCUGAUGGAGGUCCGUAGCGAUUCUGACGUGCAAAUCGAUCGUCGGAACUGGGUAUAGGGGCGAAAGACUAAUCGAACCAUCUAGUAGCUGGUUCCCUCCGAAGUUUCCCUCAGGAUAGCUGGCACUCGUGCGGAAAAAUUUUGAACGAGUCUCAUCCGGUAAAGCGAAUGAUUAGAGGCCUUGGGGCCGAAACGACCUCAACCUAUUCUCAAACUUUAAAUGGGUGAGAUCUCUGGCUUGCUUGAACCAUGAAGCCACGAGAUUUCGGAUCAGAGUGCCAAGUGGGCCACUUUU